AGGACAUAAUCUAGAAGCUUGCUUGCAUGCGCUUGAAGCUUGCUUACAUGCGUAAACAUAUUUUGAAACCGCAACCGCAUUUAUUGUUAUUGUGGUUAACUAUUUAGUGCUGUAACAUACUGUAUUGCGUAUGGGAUGUAGGUCACAAAACCACAAUACUUCCCAUUAGAUAUUAUAUAUAUAUGAGUAGUUUACACCACUGAGUACAACCUACGAGCACAAGCUACGAGGAGAUAAACUUAGGAGGCAUAGACUACCGAAGUAGUUUGACAAGCUACAAUCUACCAGACAACUAUCUUGGCAUUUAUGCCAUAACUAUCUUUUGGCUUUUGUGCCUUUAAUCUAUUUGGAAAACUGUUGUGAGUCAUUGUUGGACUCACAAAUGCUCAAGAAUAAAGACUCACGGUUGUACUCAGACAGAGGAGAUAAGUUUUAUUCAUACUUAUUGAUAUUAUAAUUAAGACACUUAUCCACUUUAAUAUUUACGCGUUGGUUAAUAAAUUGUUUGAGAAAUAUAACUGGUUCACACUAUCUUUGUUGCGUGUGGAAAUAGAACCAAAAUUAAUAGUUAUUCUUUCGGGACCUCGCACGUAACAUGCACAAUGAUCAAAACAACAAAAAGGCGUGCUUGCAGGGAUGUGUAAUCCAUUUUAAAGGUGAAAAUGGGCCAUUGACUGAUUUUACCGAGACAUCUUUGAAAAAAGUUUUACAUUGUCACAAGCUUUGGUUACUAUACAAUGGUGAGCAAAAAGACAUCGCUGAAAAGAACAAAAAUUUGAUGAAAAAAAUUUAGUCCGUGAAAAGUCCUUUGGCUGAGUACCGUGGAGAGUUAAAGUACCAUAGAAAUUGCUAGGCAAAGUUCACCAAUGUCGGCCUGGUUAGACGGGCUGAAAAAAGAAUGAGCAAAAAGUUUGAAGCUUCAGCAGCCACUGUCAAUGAAAACUAUAUACAAGAAAAUAAGUCGACAGAUGUAAAUGAGCCUCACACGAAACUGCUACGAUCAUCCUCGUUUUGUCAUGACAGUUCUAAACCUCCGAUAAGAACUAUAGCAGUUUUGCCAUCAAUAUGCAUAAUAUGCAAGCAAGAAAAGUCCUUCGUCACUCAAUCGGUAAAUAAUGUAACAAAUAAACCAAUAUGUUACAGGUAUUCCAAUACCUGUUUUGUAACAUCAUGUUCUGUACUUAAUCUACCUACAAUAUGAUUUUACUUUUGUUGUCUUACUGAUGGUGAGGAAUGUCCAAUUUUUCUACAAUUUGGUAAAGAUCUUUAUUUAUUGACAAGAGUUCAGCGAUAGUUAAUGCUUCAAGGUACACUCUCUUUGCAUCUGGCAAGUGUACGGACGAAUGCCUUCCCCCGAAUGCAGAUAGCAUGCUUUUGCACAUUAAGAGAGCCAACUACCAAGCAGCCAUCUGGAAGAAUAGUUUGCAAUCGCACAUUAAUGUUCAACCUCCUGUGAGCCAUGGAUGGCACAUGAAAAAUGGUCAGUUAGAGAUUCUUUGGAUGACUGGACCAUCUGCUCCAGAUACACUUAUUGAGUGCGCGACAUGCAAGUGUAAAGCUGGUUGCAAGAAUCUUCGAUGCUCGUGCGUGAAGUCUGGUUUGCAAUGUACUGACAUUUGCGGUUGUUCUGACUGCAGUAACUACGCCUCUGAAGAUGACGGCCCAAUGAAAGAGCCGGAUGAGUGCGAUGAUAGCGAUUAAGAUGAUGCCGACGAUACACAUGAAAACUUCAUAAACGAUUUCAAUGAAAUGUUCUAUUAAGAAUGCACUGCUCAGCAGUGUGUACAGCAGGAGCUAGAUGGCGACCAAAGGAUUCUGAGUACGCAAUCUCAUGUGCCAAUUUAUUAUCGUUAUAUUAUUUACACAAAAAGAUGAAGGACUCCUUCGCAAUUCAAUUUCAAGAAUUGUUUUUUCAUUUUUUAGUCUUUUUGUCCAUCAAGCAGAUAUGGAAGAUUAAUAGCUAAACAUAUCAUUUCAAAUUAACUUAGAAAGAUUGCUCCUUAAUCAUUAUUUAGCCCCGUUCUUUUGAAUAUGAGCCAGCAAAUUUAGCGAAUUUCACACAAAACAAUAUGGCGGAUAUAGAAAAUAAAUGUCGAAUUUUUGAUGGCUCUAGCUCUCUUGAUUGCAAGUUUUCGGGAUGUAAACAGGCAGAUUUAUGUUAAGUGAGUACAUAUCAGUACAUCUA
This is a long non-coding RNA of Xenia sp. Carnegie-2017, 2185 nucleotides long. RefSeq lists it as uncharacterized. The transcript is spliced from 2 exons. Lineage: Eukaryota; Metazoa; Cnidaria; Anthozoa; Malacalcyonacea; Xeniidae. The record is from RefSeq and is a predicted model, not a curated record.